UCAUAUAAAUAGAUCAUAAUACUCGAGUCACAAUAACUACAAAAUUUGUUAUUGUAUCUUGGUCUCAUAAGGACCAUAGUACCUACAAAAUUUAUUAACUAACAUAAGAAAACUGAAAGAAUAAUAAUGAACUAGAAGGAAUAAAGUGUGACAUGUUAGAUCCACUUCAUCAUCAUUUUCUUCAAAAAAAUCAAGGUUGGGCAUGUAAACUUCAUGCUGCAAUAGAAACACCAAAAUUCAAUUUCAAUAAGACGAGGAAUAAGAAAAGAUGAAACUGGUGAACUUAAAUUAAAAAAAGAAAAGAAAAUAAAAACCUCUUUUGGCAACAGACAAUGAUCCUAAACUAGUACAGAGAACUCACCAUGAAAUUAGAGUUAGCAGCACAACUACUU
Molecule: long non-coding RNA, 392 nt
Filed under: Panax ginseng (ginseng)
Lineage: Eukaryota; Viridiplantae; Streptophyta; Magnoliopsida; Apiales; Araliaceae
Description: long non-coding RNA (PGIN_LNC010686)
Source: RNAcentral